AAAAGCACACAUAUCACCCCAACCCACCAAAGAUCUCCAAGCUUUUACCAAUAUCCUCUUAAACCCAUUUGUUCCUCUCUUCCACCCAACUUUGUUGCUCCCUCUUACUCAUUCACAGACUCAUGAAAAUAGUGCAUAUAUGCUAGACCUUUACAACUUUAUAAAUUCCUAUUCACUUUUCCAAUUAACACCUCACCCCACACCACAACGACUAGUCAGCUUGUUUUCCUGCUAUCACCAACAUCACCAUCUCAACACAACCUCCCAUACAUCUUUCCUAUUACACCUCUUUAAAUUUGGUUAAUAAUACAUGAAGCUACGUAUUAGCUAAAAACUCAUUAGUGA
Molecule: long non-coding RNA, 345 nt
Filed under: Carica papaya (papaya)
Lineage: Eukaryota; Viridiplantae; Streptophyta; Magnoliopsida; Brassicales; Caricaceae
Description: long non-coding RNA (CPAP_LNC016350)
Source: RNAcentral